Suricata suricatta (meerkat) is the source of this 844-nucleotide long non-coding RNA. RefSeq lists it as uncharacterized. The record is from RefSeq and is a predicted model, not a curated record. The transcript has 3 exons. Lineage: Eukaryota; Metazoa; Chordata; Mammalia; Carnivora; Herpestidae.
AGGCCCAAAGGUACCAUGUCCCAGGCCCUGCUACUGCUCUGGCUCCAUGCGCCGAGGGCUGACUCUAUCCAAGGCAAUACAAUGGGAAGGUGAUAGCAUCUGGAUGCCAAUCAGAGGGGUCUGAGCCCUGAGCCUCUGCGCAUUACCCCAGGGUGGGCUGUACACUUGGCCAAGACCCAGCCUCCCACACGGGGGUGUUCCUGUCUCAGCAGUGGACAUGUGCGUGGAACCUGCUCUGGGACCUUGACCAAGCCCCGUGCCCUCCUCAAACCCCUAAAAAGAGGGACUUCAACUGUAAAAAGAGGAAGUUCAUUUUUUCGUCACAGGGGCCACAUUUCAGUGACGGGCAGCCAUAUGUGGUUCGCAGCUACCGUAACACACCAGGCGGAUCUCGAACGUCUCCACCAUUCCAGAAUGUUUCGGUAGACAGCUCUGCUCUCAGGAAUUGAGCCCACCAAUAAGUGACUGCCGAAGGAAGUAAAUACAAAAAGAGAACUGGCAUCCAGAGAAAUGAGGUCACUUGCUCAAGGUUAUUCACCAAGAGCAAAGCAGAUGCCCAAACUACAGACUUGCUUUGUUCAGAGCUAUUUCCUCUAUGAGCAAUUUAAAAGCUAUGGAACCCACACUCUCCAAGAUUGGAGAGAUGAAGAACAAUUACAAAACGGCACAAAACAACAUGAAAACAAACUAAUCCAAAAUAAUUUCACUCCACCUCCUAAAAGCCAAGGGACAAAGUAGCAGCAAGUGGGCUGUUGUGUAGAAAAUUGUACCUGAAAGGACUUAAUGGCACUUUUUCCUCUGUCACCCAUUUCUUGAAAGCAGAGACAAUAAAAAAUGCACACAA